This 515-nucleotide ribosomal RNA is filed under the name uncultured bacterium. RNAcentral describes it as "partial 16S ribosomal RNA". It matches the Rfam family "Bacterial small subunit ribosomal RNA", at positions 28 to 523 of the family's 1533-position model. The record is from RNAcentral.
GAUGAACGCUGGCGGCGUGCCUAAUACAUGCAAGUCGAGCGAAUGGAUUAAGAGCUUGCUCUUAUGAAGUUAGCGGCGGACGGGUGAGUAACACGAGGGUAACCUGCCCAUAAGACUGGGAUAACUCCGGGAAACCGGGGCUAAUACCGGAUAACAUUUUGAACCGCAUGGUUCGAAAUUGAAAGGCGGCUUCGGCUGUCACUUAUGGAUGGACCCGCGUCGCAUUAGCUAGUUGGUGAGGUAACGGCUCACCAAGGCAACGAUGCGUAGCCGACCGGAGAGGGUGUUCGGCCACACUGGGACUGAGACACGGCACUGACUCCUACGGGAGGCAGCAGUAGGGAAUCUUCCGCAAUGGACGAAAGUCUGACGGAGCAACGCCGCGUGAGUGAUGAAGGCUUUCGGGUCGUAAAACUCUGUUGUUAGGGAAGAACAAGUGCUAGUUGAAUAAGCUGGCACCUUGACGGUACCUAACCAGAAAGCCACGGCUAACUACGUGCCAGCAGCCGCAGUAA